Molecule: transfer RNA, 69 nt
Filed under: Muscidifurax raptorellus
Lineage: Eukaryota; Metazoa; Arthropoda; Insecta; Hymenoptera; Pteromalidae
Description: tRNA-Asp
Source: RNAcentral
AAAAAAUUAGUUAAAUAUAUAACAUUAAUUUGUCAAAUUAAAAUUAUUUAAAAUUUUAAAUAUUUUUUU